This 26-nucleotide transfer RNA is filed under the name Compsoneura debilis. RNAcentral describes it as "partial tRNA-His". The record is from RNAcentral. Lineage: Eukaryota; Viridiplantae; Streptophyta; Magnoliopsida; Magnoliales; Myristicaceae.
GGCGGAUGUAGCCAAGGGGAUCAAGG